CGUACCUUCGUACUCCGCCUCUUUAUCUAACGCCCCCACGGCCUCUCCUCCUCCUCCUCCUCCGUCGCCGCCGCCUUCAUCGCCGUCACGCGUCAAUGAGAAAUCAAACGGACCUGAGAGGCCUCGAUUCUUCGAUGGAAAGGCGAAGAACAAGUGCUGGUCAAACGCUGACGUCGUCCCGGGUCGACCUCCCGAGAGGUGGCGUAAAGACGCCGCCGGAAACGUCGUCUGCAAGAGAUUCGGAAACUGCGGCGGAUGUCUCUGUUUCGAGUACGAUCACAUUGUUCCUUACUCCAAAGGUUUCGAUUCUCCCAACCUCUCUCUCUAGGGUCUAAAGGUUUAGUCUUUGAUAGUUGAUUAUGUGUUUGUAAGGUGGAGAAUCGACGGCGGAGAAUUGUCAGAUUCUUCAAACUAGAGUGAACAGAUUCAAAGCAGCUCAGGAGAAUGUGGAUGCUGAGACACUUAAGGGAUAUUCAUGUGGCUUGCAGUUCACAGGUAUGUUUACAUGUCAAUGUGUUGUUUAAACAGUGUACAUUGAGUUUAUGUAGGAGAUAUCAUCAUUGUUAAAGCUUGAAUGUGUAUCUUCUUAUCAUGAAGAGUGUAGUACUCUGCUCUAAAUGGUAUUUUACUCGUAAAGUGUUUUGUUUCCUUAGAGGUUAUGUAUACAUGUGGGAGCUGCUUUUGCUUUUGAUCUUCUUUCUCUUUUCUCUGUUGGUUUUAUCAUAUAUCAAGAAUUUGCACUUGAGCUACUUGCAGUCUUGUUAAAGCGCAAAAGUGACUUCAGUGAGUUGUUCUGGAUCUUGCUAGUUUACAUUUUAUAUGAGUGAAGCAAAGUGUAAAUGCUCUUGGGAAAUGGAUGUUCUUUCCAAAAAGACGCAAAAGAUUAUAGAUAUGCUGGCAUCCUUUCUGUUCUUACACUCACAAGUGGAUUCAAGUGUGUAUUUUCUGCGUAUUUAUGCUUAUCACUUUCUUAAGAUUUCUUCUAUUGUAAACAUACAGACAAGGAGCUUGAUGUUAUUGAAAUGGCGGUUUACGGAGACGUGUUACGACCUGGAAAAGAAUGUCGCUGCAAAACUGUAGCCGAGCUGCUUGGUCAGUACAAGGCCAAAGAUGGUAAAGCCGCGUGCGAGUUACCAUCAUAAUAAUAAAGUAAUCAACCAUCUCUUUCUAAAACUCCGCCUCUUUAUCUAACGCCACCACGGCCUCUCCUCCUCCUCCUCCUCCGUCGCCGCCGCCUUCAUCGCCGUCACGCGUCAAUGAGAAAUCAAACGGACCUGAGAGGCCUCGAUUCUUCGAUGGAAAGGCGAAGAACAAGUGCUGGUCAAACGCUGACGUCGUCCCCGGUCGACAUCCCGAGAGGUGGCGUAAAGACGCCGCCGGAAACGUCGUCUGCAAGAGAUUCGGAAACUGCGGCGGAUGUCUCUGUUUCGAGUACGAUCACAUUGUUCCUUACUCCAA
This 1458-nucleotide long non-coding RNA is filed under the name Brassica napus (rape). RNAcentral's name for it is "long non-coding RNA (BNAP_LNC008394)". Lineage: Eukaryota; Viridiplantae; Streptophyta; Magnoliopsida; Brassicales; Brassicaceae. The record is from RNAcentral.